AUACGUAGGUGGCAAGCGUUGUCCGGAAUUACUGGGGCGUAAAGGAUGCGUAGGCGGAUAUGUAAGUCAGAUGUGAAAUACCCGGGCUCAACUUGGGUGCUGCAUUUGAAACUGCAUGUCUAGAGUGCGGGAGAGGAAAGUGGAAUUCCUAGUGUAGCGGUGAAGUGCGUAGAGAUUAGGAAGAACACCAGUGGCGAAGGCGACUUUCUGGACCGUAACUGACGCUGAGGCAUGAAAGCGUGGGUAGC
RNAcentral lists this ribosomal RNA (248 nucleotides) under uncultured bacterium. Its description in RNAcentral is "partial 16S ribosomal RNA". It matches the Rfam family "Bacterial small subunit ribosomal RNA", at positions 523 to 769 of the family's 1533-position model. The record is from RNAcentral.